Molecule: ribosomal RNA, 1372 nt
Filed under: uncultured bacterium
Lineage: Bacteria
Description: bacterial SSU rRNA
Rfam family: Bacterial small subunit ribosomal RNA
Source: RNAcentral
GAUGAACGCUGGCGGCGUGCCUAAUACAUGCAAGUCGAGCGAACGGACGAGAAGCUUGCUUCUCUGAUGUUAGCGGCGGACGGGUGAGUAACACGUGGAUAACCUACCUAUAAGACUGGGAUAACUUCGGGAAACCGGAGCUAAUACCGGAUAAUAUUUUGAACCGCAUGGUUCAAAAGUGAAAGACGGUCUUGCUGUCACUUAUAGAUGGAUCCGCGCUGCAUUAGCUAGUUGGUAAGGUAACGGCUUACCAAGGCAACGAUGCAUAGCCGACCUGAGAGGGUGAUCGGCCACACUGGGACUGAGACACGGUCCAGACUCCUACGGGAGGCAGCAGUAGGGAAUCUUCCGCAAUGGGCGAAAGCCUGACGGAGCAACGCCGCGUGAGUGAUGAAGGUCUUCGGAUCGUAAAACUCUGUUAUUAGGGAAGAACAUAUGUGUAAGUAACUGUGCACAUCUUGACGGUACCUAAUCAGAAAGCCACGGCUAACUACGUGCCAGCAGCCGCGGUAAUACGUAGGUGGCAAGCGUUAUCCGGAAUUAUUGGGCGUAAAGCGCGCGUAGGCGGUUUUUUAAGUCUGAUGUGAAAGCCCACGGCUCAACCGUGGAGGGUCAUUGGAAACUGGAAAACUUGAGUGCAGAAGAGGAAAGUGGAAUUCCAUGUGUAGCGGUGAAAUGCGCAGAGAUAUGGAGGAACACCAGUGGCGAAGGCGACUUUCUGGUCUGUAACUGACGCUGAUGUGCGAAAGCGUGGGGAUCAAACAGGAUUAGAUACCCUGGUAGUCCACGCCGUAAACGAUGAGUGCUAAGUGUUAGGGGGUUUCCGCCCCUUAGUGCUGCAGCUAACGCAUUAAGCACUCCGCCUGGGGAGUACGACCGCAAGGUUGAAACUCAAAGGAAUUGACGGGGACCCGCACAAGCGGUGGAGCAUGUGGUUUAAUUCGAAGCAACGCGAAGAACCUUACCAAAUCUUGACAUCCUUUGACAACUCUAGAGAUAGAGCCUUCCCCUUCGGGGGACAAAGUGACAGGUGGUGCAUGGUUGUCGUCAGCUCGUGUCGUGAGAUGUUGGGUUAAGUCCCGCAACGAGCGCAACCCUUAAGCUUAGUUGCCAUCAUUAAGUUGGGCACUCUAAGUUGACUGCCGGUGUCAAACCGGAGGAAGGUGGGGAUGACGUCAAAUCAUCAUGCCCCUUAUGAUUUGGGCUACACACGUGCUACAAUGGACAAUACAAAGGGCAGCGAAACCGCGAGGUCAAGCAAAUCCCAUAAAGUUGUUCUCAGUUCGGAUUGUAGUCUGCAACUCGACUACAUGAGGCCGGAAUCGCUAGUAAUCGUAGAUCAGCAUGCUACGGUGAAUACGUUCCCGGGUCU